Long non-coding RNA from Echinops telfairi (small Madagascar hedgehog), 2241 nucleotides. RefSeq lists it as uncharacterized. The transcript is spliced from 2 exons. The record is from RefSeq and is a predicted model, not a curated record. Lineage: Eukaryota; Metazoa; Chordata; Mammalia; Afrosoricida; Tenrecidae.
CAGAGUUAAUUCGUGAACGUUUGAUUCUUAAAGAUAUAUUCAAUUGUGCUGGAAAGUCAGCCAUGUGGUCUCAUCUUGAGUCUGUGAGAUAUCGGUGGAGUUUGACCAGGAAUGCAAAAGAAUGUUUUUCAGGUUAUAGGGCGGUUUACAAAACGUGAGUUGGCCGUAUUCUUCCUUAAACUCUGUUUUUUCUGGUUCUCUGUCGUGUUGCUGUAUCACAGACGCUCAGACUUACUACUUGUUUAUGUCUGCUGCUCUGAGAGAUUGUACUUGGAAUUAACAGUGAAUUUAGGUACCAUUUGAAGUGUGACCAGAGCUGUCCCAGGCAAACUGUGUCCAGUCCUAUAUGAAGUGGGGAGAAAAGAUGCCAGCAGCGCCGUGGCAGAUGCAGCCCUCCUGAGAGACCACAUUUCUGUCGCUGAAAGCAGCUGGCCCGCAAGACGCCAGUGAAAUCAAACGCGCCGGGCUUGUGUGGCGUGGGUCUCCUGUAGGUGAGGAAAUGCCGCCUGAAACCCAACAGGUAAAGGUGGAAGCCCGUCUGGGAAUAGUCUUCUUUAUUAUGUUAAUGAGACAGUGCCAGUGUCAACUAUGUCUCCACCCCUGCACCCGUGAGUUACAGGGAGCACCACAGACACAGGGAGACAGGUGCCACCUGAAGACCACCCAGGGACAGAGCUGAAGGAGACAAAGCGCUUCCGCCAGAGUGGACAGAGAGACUGCCGAGCCUCCCCCAGAGCCAGUGCCCUAAAUUCUGGCAUCUGGUCUACUGGACUGAGAAAAUACCUUUUUGUUCUUUAAAGCAGGUCCAAUGGUGGCCUUUCUGUUGCUGCAUUGCUACGGAAACCUGGAGAUCCAGAGGCCAGCAAAAGUUGGGUUAACAAAGACAGGUGUUGUAAGGGCUCUUUGACUUACAGGGGGAAAUGCACUAUCGGGGCAGGAGACGCCUACACUUGACAAAGGCCUGCCUGCGUUCAUCGGCAGAGGUGUGUUGACGUCUCUGAAGGCUGUGUGAGGCCGUAGAAACCUCUUAAAGCAAGAAUACCCAAAUGUGACGCUGUUGUUUCCGGAUGUAACCUUGUAGGUCUGCACCCUUCUGAACACGGGUUUCCCAUCUCUGACAACUUCCCUGAAGAAUUCAAACGAUGUCACAUUAAAACAGUAGUUCAGAUAUCCUCUCAGGACUCAAGUUCUUUUGAAUCAUUUGUUGGGUUUUGAGAACAAAAUGAAACCCAAAGGGCAAGCUCGAGACUGUAGGGUGGAGGGAGUAAGGUUUCCCAACAAGAUUCUGGAAGGCCAGCUCUGGCUGCCCUCGGAGAACCAGCGGGUGUGUUGUCCUGAUGGAAGAAAUCCCUGUCUUUUCUCACCAAUGCCAAUUUCCACUUUCUUACCCCUUCCUCACAUGCCCCCUGUCCUGUGUCCUUUGAGAAAAUCUCUUCAGAUAACUCUUUUGGGAUCUCAAGACACAAUGGCUAUAUAACCUUCCAAGCUGCCUUACAUUGAACAGAUCCCACGGAAGCCAGUGUUUUGACUGGACCUUUGUGAAGACGCCCUAAGGAGACUAGCGCGUUACUGAGACCACGUGUCUGCAGUCGCCCACUGACCACAGACAUGUUUAAAUAUGGUUGGUUUGGAAUCAACUGCAGACGAACGCUAGUAGCAGUGCUUUUUGGCUCACUCUGGAAAGUGGGCGCAAUAGUCAGAGAAGGUCUUUUCCAGUUCUGUACACACCCUCCCCACAUGUCCCUGCCUAAGCUCUCUGUCGCUGCACCUCUGCAGCAUCGCUGGUGUGUCCCCUGGAGCCCCUCCUGUGGCAAGCCAACACCACCCCUAGGCCUGAGCCUGCUGAAGUCCUCAGAACUAUCAUGGCCUUUUGGUAACACAUCUUGGCAUCUCUCCGAGGUCUCUCUUGACAUUCUCUCAGAGUAAGUUUCUGUCUCUGGCAUGACUUACAGUCUUCUCCUGCAUACCCUCAGCUACCAUACCACCAGACUUAAGCUUUCACUCAAUGCUUCUCACCGGUGAGAGCCGCCUAUCGGUGAGAGCCGCCUAUCGUCCCUGACUGCCGCAGCCACUCCCCAGGUUCUGGCUACAGAAAGCGCCUCUUCCUGCGGCAUUUGCAAGGCUGUGCUCCAACUGGUUCAUGAGCAAUUUUUGGAACUUGAGGAAUUUCACGUGCCCAAUUUCGGAAAAGAUACAAUUAAAUGAUAUUAACAAUAAAGGUGAUAGAACAUCACUUCUGAA